UGAACGCACCUUGCGCCUUUUGGUAUUCCGAAAGGCAUGCCUGUUUGAGUGUCAUGAAAUCCUCAAUCCCCCUCGGGUUUCUGAUCCGGGGUGGACUUGGACUUGGGUGUCUGCCGUUCCGACGGCUUGCCUCAAAUGACUUAGUGGGACCAGCAUCCACGGUUAGACGUAAUAAGUUUCGUCUGGCUAGCGUGACGGCCUGCUCACAACCCCUCGCUUUGGCGUUGACAUUUUUUUUGACUCUGACCUCAAAUCAGGUAGGGCUACCCGCUGAACUUAA
Molecule: unclassified non-coding RNA, 280 nt
Filed under: uncultured Tremellales
Lineage: Eukaryota; Fungi; Basidiomycota; Tremellomycetes; Tremellales
Description: sequence contains ITS2
Rfam family: 5.8S ribosomal RNA (bases 1-54)
Source: RNAcentral